This 480-nucleotide ribosomal RNA is filed under the name uncultured bacterium. RNAcentral describes it as "bacterial SSU rRNA". It matches the Rfam family "Bacterial small subunit ribosomal RNA", at positions 1 to 499 of the family's 1533-position model. The record is from RNAcentral.
AGGAGUUUGAUCCUGGCUCAGGACGAACGCUGGCGGCGUGCUUAACACAUGCAAGUCGAACGAGAUUCAAUCAUUCGCAAGAAUGAGGAAGAUCUAGUGGCGAACGGGUGCGUAACACGUGAGGAACCUAUCCCAGUCUCUGGAAUAACAGGUGGAAACACCUGCUAAUACCGGAUGCCGUUGGACCACCGCAUGGUGAACCAACGAAAGAUUUAUCGGAGUGGGAGGGCCUCGCGGCUAUCAGCUUGUUGGCGGGGUAACGGCCCACCAAGGCGUCGACGGGUAGCUGGUCUGAGAGGAUGAUCAGCCACACUGGGACUGAGACACGGCCCAGACUCCUACGGGAGGCAGCAGUGGGGAAUCUUGCACAAUGGGCGCAAGCCUGAUGCAGCAACGCCGCGUGCGGGAAGAAGGCCCUAGGGUUGUAAACCGCUUUCAGCAGGGAAGAACAAUGACGGUACCUGUAAAAAGGUGCGGCCA